This 219-nucleotide ribosomal RNA is filed under the name uncultured bacterium. RNAcentral's name for it is "partial 16S ribosomal RNA". It matches the Rfam family "Bacterial small subunit ribosomal RNA", at positions 15 to 212 of the family's 1533-position model. The record is from RNAcentral.
GAUCAUGGCUCAGGACGGACGCUGGCGGCGUGCUUAACACAUGCAAGUCGAACGAGAAUCUGUGGAACGUAGGAUUCGUCCAAGUGAAGCAGAGGACAGUGGCGGACGGGUGAGUAACGCGUGAGGAACCUGGCCUUUCAGAGGGGACAACAGUUGGAAACGACUGCUAAUACCGCAUAACGACAUGGGUGUCGCAUGGCACUGAUGUCAAAGAUUUAU